GGGGAAUAUUGGACAAUGGGGGGAACCCUGAUCCAGCCAUGCCGCGUGUGUGAAGAAGGCCUUAUGGUUGUAAAGCACUUUAAGCGAGGAGGAGGCUACUGAGACUAAUACUCUUGGAUAGUGGACGUUACUCGCAGAAUAAGCACCGGCUAACUCUGUGCCAGCAGCCGCGGUAAUACAGAGGGUGCGAGCGUUAAUCGGAUUUACUGGGCGUAAAGCGUGCGUAGGCGGCUUUUUAAGUCGGAUGUGAAAUCCCCGAGCUUAACUUGGGAAUUGCAUUCGAUACUGGGAAGCUAGAGUAUGGGAGAGGAUGGUAGAAUUCCAGGUGUAGCGGUGAAAUGCGUAGAGAUCUGGAGGAAUACCGAUGGCGAAGGCAGCCAUCUGGCCUAAUACUGACGCUGAGGUACGAAAGCAUGGGGAGCAAACAGGAUUAGAUACCCUGGUAGUCCAUGCCGUAAACGAUGUCUACUAGCCGUUGGGGCCUUUGAGGCUUUAGUGGCGCAGCUAACGCGAUAAGUAGACCGCCUGGGGAGUACGGUCGCAAGACUAAAACUCAAAUGAAUUGACGGGGGCCCGCACAAGCGGUGGAGCAUGUGGUUUAAUUCGAUGCAACGCGAAGAACCUUACCUGGCCUUGACAUACUAGAAACUUUCCAGAGAUGGAUUGGUGCCUUCGGGAAUCUAGAUACAGGUGCUGCAUGGCUGUCGUCAGCUCGUGUCGUGAGAUGUUGGGUUAAGUCCCGCAACGAGCGCAACCCUUUUCCUUACUUGCCAGCAUUUCGGAUGGGAACUUUAAGGAUACUGCCAGUGACAAACUGGAGGAAGGCGGGGACGACGUCAAGUCCUCAUGG
This 850-nucleotide ribosomal RNA is filed under the name uncultured bacterium. RNAcentral's name for it is "bacterial SSU rRNA". It matches the Rfam family "Bacterial small subunit ribosomal RNA", at positions 356 to 1198 of the family's 1533-position model. The record is from RNAcentral.